GUCAGAAUGGCCGAGUGGUCUAAGGCGCCAGACUCAAGUUCUGGUCCUCCAAGAGAGCGUGGGUUCGAAUCCUACUUCUGAUA
RNAcentral lists this transfer RNA (83 nucleotides) under Blattella germanica (German cockroach). Its description in RNAcentral is "tRNA-Leu (CAA) (tRNA-Leu-CAA-20-1)". It matches the Rfam family "tRNA". Rfam says of the family: Transfer RNA (tRNA) molecules are approximately 80 nucleotides in length. The record is from RNAcentral. Lineage: Eukaryota; Metazoa; Arthropoda; Insecta; Blattodea; Blattellidae.